UGGGGAAUCUUGCGCAAUGCGCGAAAGCGUGACGCAGCAACGCCGCGUGAGGGAAGACGGCCUUCGGGUUGUAAACCUCUUUCAGUUGGGACGAAGCCUCGGCGGUGAACAGCCGUUCGAGGUGACGGUACCUUCAGAAGAAGCCCCGGCUAACUACGUGCCAGCAGCCGCGGUAAUACGUAGGGGGCAAGCGUUGUCCGGAAUCAUUGGGCGUAAAGAGCGCGUAGGCGGUCCGGUAAGUCCGCUGUGAAAGUCAAGGGCUCAACCCUUGAAAGCCGGUGGAUACUGUCGGGCUAGAGUCCGGAAGAGGCGAGUGGAAUUCCUGGUGUAGCGGUGAAAUGCGCAGAUAUCAGGAGGAACACCUAUGGCGAAGGCAGCUCGCUGGGACGGUACUGACGCUGAGGCGCGAAAGCGUGGGGAGCAAACAGG
RNAcentral lists this ribosomal RNA (429 nucleotides) under Bacillota bacterium. RNAcentral's name for it is "Firmicutes bacterium partial 16S ribosomal RNA". It matches the Rfam family "Bacterial small subunit ribosomal RNA", at positions 355 to 776 of the family's 1533-position model. Lineage: Bacteria; Bacillati; Bacillota. The record is from RNAcentral.